This 71-nucleotide transfer RNA is filed under the name Loxodonta africana (African savanna elephant). It matches the Rfam family "tRNA". From Rfam's summary of the family: Transfer RNA (tRNA) molecules are approximately 80 nucleotides in length. Their secondary structure includes four short double-helical elements and three loops (D, anti-codon, and T loops). Further hydrogen bonds mediate the characteristic L-shaped molecular structure. tRNAs have two regions of fundamental functional importance: the anti-codon, which is responsible for specific mRNA codon recognition, and the 3' end, to which the tRNAs corresponding amino acid is attached (by aminoacyl-tRNA synthetases). tRNAs cope with the degeneracy of the genetic code in two manners: having more than one tRNA (with a specific anti-codon) for a particular amino acid; and 'wobble' base-pairing, i.e. permitting non-standard base-pairing at the 3rd anti-codon position. The record is from Rfam by way of RNAcentral. Lineage: Eukaryota; Metazoa; Chordata; Mammalia; Proboscidea; Elephantidae.
GCAGUGGUGGUUCAGCGGUAGAAUUCUUGCCUUCCAAGCAGAGGACCAAGGUUCGAUUCCUAGCCAAUGCA